This 600-nucleotide ribosomal RNA is filed under the name uncultured Enterobacteriaceae bacterium. RNAcentral describes it as "bacterial SSU rRNA". It matches the Rfam family "Bacterial small subunit ribosomal RNA", at positions 1 to 615 of the family's 1533-position model. Lineage: Bacteria; Pseudomonadati; Pseudomonadota; Gammaproteobacteria; Enterobacterales; Enterobacteriaceae. The record is from RNAcentral.
UCGGCUUAGAGUUUGAUCAUGGCUCACAUUGAACGCUGGCGGCAGGCUUAACACAUGCAAGUCGAACGGUAAAGUAGCUUGCUACUUACGAGUGGCGGACGGGUGAGUAACGUAUGGGAAUUUACCGAAUGGAGGGGGACAACAGUUGGAAACGGCUGCUAAUACCGCAUAACGUCGAGAGACCAAAGGGUUUCGACUUGCCAUUUGAUGAGCCCAUAUGAGAUUAGCUAGUUGGUGUGGUAAUGGCUCACCAAGGCGACGAUCUCUAGCUGGUUUGAGAGGAUGACCAGCCACACUGGGACUGAGACACGGCCCACACUCCUACGGGAGGCAGCAGUGGGGAAUAUUGCACAAUGGGGGGAACCCUGAUGCAGCCAUGCCGCGUGUAUGAAGAAGGCCUUAGGGUUGUAAAGUACUUUCGUGGAGGAGGAAGGGUUUACGUAAUCGUGGACAUUGACGUUACUCCAAGAAGAAGCACCGGCUAACUCCGUGCCAGCAGCCGCGGUAAUACGGAGGGUGCGAGCGUUAAUCGGAAUGACUGGGCGUAAAGGGCAUGUAGGCGGAUGAUUAAGUUAGAUGUGAAAUCCCUGGGCUUAACCU